CCUACGGGUGGCAGCAGUGGGGAAUAUUGCACAAUGCUGGUAACCCUGACGCAGCGACGCCGCGUGAGUGAAGAAGGCUUUCGGUACGUAAAGUUCUAUCAGCAGGGAAGAAAAUGACUGUACCUGACUAAGAAGCUCUGGCUAAAUACGUGCCAGCCGCCGCGGUAAUACGGAGGGGGCGAGCGUGAUCCGGAGUUACUGGGUGUAAAGGGAGCGUAGACGGCAGCGCAAGUCAGGAGUGAAAUCCCAUAGCUUAACCAUGGAACUGCUUGUGAAACUGUACAGCUAGAGUACAAGAGAGGAAUGCAGAAUUCCUGGUGUAGCGGUGAAAUGCGUAGAUAUUAGGAGGAACACCGGUAGCGAAGGCGGCUUACUGGACUGUAACUGACGUUGAGGCGCGAAAGCGUGGGGAGCAAACAGGAUUAGAUACCCGUGUAGUC
Molecule: ribosomal RNA, 440 nt
Filed under: uncultured bacterium
Lineage: Bacteria
Description: partial 16S ribosomal RNA
Rfam family: Bacterial small subunit ribosomal RNA
Source: RNAcentral